Polypterus senegalus (gray bichir) is the source of this 354-nucleotide non-coding RNA. NCBI's taxonomy places the organism in Eukaryota, Metazoa, Chordata, Cladistia, Polypteriformes, Polypteridae. The record is from the annotation of a RefSeq genome assembly.
AUGACUGCAGUGGUGCUCCUCUGUGUCCUCGUAGUCUUCACUCAGGACUCAAGUUGUCAGAUUUCUGUGAAUCAGCCUUCAGAACCAAAAUCAGUUCCUGUUGGAGGGAGUGUCACGUUCACUUGUAGCACUGGGAGUAAUGUGAAUAACUGGAUAGCCUGGUACCAGCAGAGACCUGGAGAAGCUCCCAAACUUCGGAUCUCUGGUGCAGACUCUCGCCACAGUGACACCCCAAGUCGCUUCAGUGGCAGCGGAUAUAGAACUUCAUUUAGUCUGUCCAUCACUGGAGUCCAGCCUGGAGAUGCUGGUCACUACUACUGUCAGCAGUAUUGGAGUGUCCCUCUCACACAGUAA